Molecule: transfer-messenger RNA, 294 nt
Filed under: Burkholderiales bacterium
Lineage: Bacteria; Pseudomonadati; Pseudomonadota; Betaproteobacteria; Burkholderiales
Description: partial transfer-messenger RNA
Rfam family: transfer-messenger RNA
About the family: Bacterial tmRNA, also known as 10Sa RNA or SsrA, is named for its dual tRNA and mRNA-like properties. Its role is to liberate the mRNA from a stalled ribosome.
Source: RNAcentral
AACAAAGUAACUGCAAACGACUCUACGUUCGCACUCGCCGCUUAAUUGCGGUUGAGCUUCUCAACGGCAGGCCGAUGGGCCGGGCUGAGUUCCGCAAGGGGCAAGGCUGAGAAGUCACUCACAUCGGCUGGCGUCGAACCGGGUCACUCGGUGCGGCGCGAGAUUUAGUGACUGGCGGGAAAGCUAGCGUGCCACUGCGCGAGUUGACCGUGAGAUUCAAAUCAGCUGGCUAAGCAUGUAGAUCUGCCCGGUGAUGGCUUGCGGACGGGGGUUCAAUUCCCCCCGGCUCCACCA